AGUGAACGCUGGCGGUAGGCCUAACACAUGCAAGUCGAACGGCAGCACAGUAAGAGCUUGCUCUUACGGGUGGCGAGUGGCGGACGGGUGAGGAAUACAUCGGAAUCUACUUUUUCGUGGGGGAUAACGUAGGGAAACUUACGCUAAUACCGCAUACGACCUACGGGUGAAAGCAGGGGAUCUUCGGACCUUGCGCGAUUGAAUGAGCCGAUGUCGGAUUAGCUAGUUGGCGGGGUAAAGGCCCACCAAGGCAACGAUCCGUAGCUGGUCUGAGAGGAUGAUCAGCCACACUGGAACUGAGACACGGUCCAGACUCCUACGGGAGGCAGCAGUGGGGAAUAUUGGACAAUGGGCGAAAGCCUGAUCCCGCCAUACCGCGUGGGUGAAGAAGGCCUUCGGGUUGUAAAGCCCUUUUGUUGGGAAAGAAAAGCAGCAGGUUAAUACCCCGCUGUUCUGACGGUACCCAAAGAAUAAGCACCGGCUAACUUCGUG
RNAcentral lists this ribosomal RNA (492 nucleotides) under uncultured bacterium. RNAcentral's name for it is "partial 16S ribosomal RNA". It matches the Rfam family "Bacterial small subunit ribosomal RNA", at positions 29 to 507 of the family's 1533-position model. The record is from RNAcentral.